GUGAGAAGAAAAAAAUAUUAUAAUAAAUUACAUCAUUUUUUAAAGCUUCGUCAGAAGAAAAAUGAUGAUGAUCUCUCUUUGAUGAUGAUUUGAGAAAGAGGGAUAAGGAAGAGUGUUUGUUCUUUUUGUAAGAGAGAAAGAAGAGAAAGAAGGGGCUGAAGACGAAAUGGGAAGGAAAAAAAAAAAUUUAAUGUUAAUAAGGAUAAAUUAGUCCUUUCACGUAAGUAUAAAAUUAAAAAUAUGAGAAGCAUCAAAGGAGGUUAAAGUUUGUAUUACCUAUAAAUUUAUAGGGUCAAUUCAUGUAGUUUACCUCCGCGUGACAUACUGGAUAUGCAAAAAAUCAUAUUUUAAUAAUUUGUCACUCCUUUCCUUUUCCUCCCUCUUUCCCUCGCUUUCUACGGUGGCGCCAAAUACAGAAGCACUUCUCCGAAGCUGGCAACAGAUGUCCAUUUAGAGCUUCUGCCAAUAUUCGAAAGUUGAUUAUGGGUUCUUCCCUUGGACUCAAGAGCAUCCGAACAGAGCCUUGAGGAUUAUUCUACAUCUUUUUUCUCUCUCACCCACGUUCUCUCACCUAUUAUCCCGGGUAUAUGGAGGGGAAUGAUUAUUAAUGCUCUUUUACAAACGAAACUAUAACGUUACAUCAUCCUUUUUCUUCUUUCUAUAUAGUUUGUAUGGAUCUUGUCUACGAAUUACUAGUUGACUCUUCGUUAUGUGAGGAGGAAUUCGAAUUAAAUUUAACUCAUGCUAUUGAUAAAGAACGCUCGGGUAAUGGAAGAGACUCAACAUCGCAUUAUCGUAGAUUCAUUCGAAGAAAUUCGCUUAAGGGGCACCAUCGUCUUUUUGAAGAUUAUUUUUUCGAAUCACCUACAUACCCACCAAAUUUAUUUCGUAGGAGAUUUUGAAUGCAACGUCAUCUUUUCUUGCACAUUCAAGUUGAAGUAGAAGCACAUGAACCAUAUUUUGUCCAAAGAAGAAAUGUUGCUGGAAGACUUGGGCAUUCCUCCCUUCAAAAAAUAAUAGUUGCGAUGAGAAUAUUAGCUUAUUGAUUGCGUAUCUAGUGAUUUUUUGGACGAAUACUUAAGGAUUGCAGAAACUACAGCCACCAAGUAUUUGAAGAAAUUCGUUAAGGUUGUGAUUGACAUAUUCUCUAACAAAUACUUAAGAUCACUAAACAAAAACGAUAUUGCUAGAUUGCUUGCUGAGGAAGUCGUGGGUUUCCUGGAAUGUUAGGAAGUAUUGAUUGCAUGCAUUGGAAAUAGAAAAAUUGUUCAAGUGCAUAGAAAUGAAUGUAUUGUGGUCACAUUCAUUAGCCAACAAUAAUUUUAGAAGUCGUAGUGUCAUAUGACCUAUGGAUAUGGAAUGCAUAUUUUGGAAUACCAGACUCUCAUAAUGAUAUUAAUGUCCUAGAACACUCAUCUGUUUUUAGGGAACUCACUGAAGGACAUGCUCUAAAGGUAUAUAUUGUUGGACAUGCUCACUGAAGGGUUUCCAGGUCAUGCUCACUGAAGGUCUGCCACUCAAUAAAUGGAAAUGUCUACUCAAUGAGAUAUUAUCUUGCUGAUGGUAUAUAUCCUUCUUGGUCGAUAUUUGUCAAAACAAUUCAUGCUCCACAGGGUCAUAAAAAGAAACAUUUUGCAACAACUCAAGAAUCAGCAAGAAAACAUGUAGAAUGAGCUUUUGGAAUGCUUAAAGCUUGAUUUGCUAUUGCACGCGGACCAGCACGAUUUUAUGAUCCACAAAUGCUAAAGGAGAUUAUGAUGGCUACAUAAUUUUGCAUAAUAUGAUCGUAGAAGAUGAGUGACAUACUUAUCUUCGAGUAGAAGACUUUGUUUAUGAACAAAGUGAUAAAAUUCCCCAAAAGCUUGUGUCCCAUGAGCAUACAAAAGCUUCAUUCAACGUCAUCAUCAGAUUCGAGAUUAAGCACUUUGUGUUGAACUCCAAUCAGAACUUAUUGAACAUUUAUGGGAAAUACAUAAUCAAUCUUAAGUACUUUUAUUUUA
Molecule: long non-coding RNA, 2000 nt
Organism: Humulus lupulus (European hop)
Lineage: Eukaryota; Viridiplantae; Streptophyta; Magnoliopsida; Rosales; Cannabaceae
Exons: 2
Source: RefSeq, a predicted model, not a curated record